This 447-nucleotide ribosomal RNA is filed under the name uncultured bacterium. RNAcentral describes it as "bacterial SSU rRNA". It matches the Rfam family "Bacterial small subunit ribosomal RNA", at positions 330 to 793 of the family's 1533-position model. The record is from RNAcentral.
UCCAGACUCCUACGGGAGGCAGCAGUCGGGAAUAUUGCACAAUGGAGGAAACUCUGAUGCAGUGACGCCGCGUGCAGGAAGAAGGUUUUCGGAUUGUAAACUGCUUUAGAUGGGGAAGAAAAAAGACUGUACCCAUAGAAUAAGCUCCGGCUAACUACGUGCCAGCAGCCGCGGUAAUACGUAGGGAGCAAGCGUUGUCCGGAAUUACUGGGCGUAAAGGGCGCGUAGGUGGGCGCUUAAGUCAGGUGUGAAAACUCCGGGCUCAACCUGGAGACUGCACUUGAAACUGGGUGUCUUGAGGGCAGGAGAGGAAAGUGGAAUUCCUAGUGUAGCGGUGAAAUGCGUAGAUAUUAGGAGGAACACCAGUGGCGAAGGCGACUUUCUGGACUGUACCUGACGCUGAGGCGCGAAAGCGUGGGUAGCGAACGGGAUUAGAUACCCGAGUAC